Molecule: long non-coding RNA, 549 nt
Organism: Gymnodraco acuticeps
Lineage: Eukaryota; Metazoa; Chordata; Actinopteri; Perciformes; Bathydraconidae
Exons: 3
Source: RefSeq, a predicted model, not a curated record
GAUGAGGAUGGUGAUGAGAGUCAUGGUGCUUUCUGCUGACUGACACAUGUGAGUCCUGCAGUGUUGAACUCACAGGACUAUAAACCUUCUCAGUUCACUGGAGGAUCAGCUGACCAUGCAAAGCCUCCUCUCUAUGGAAAUGAUGUCUCUGCUCUCAGCACACUGAAGGCAACGUGGGACACGAAACCAGGAGGAACACUGUCUGGAUUUACACCGUCUAUCAUCUGAAUGGAAGAACAUAUUUAUAUCAGGAGUGGAGAUGAGGAUUUGAGUUUGUGUCCACUGUGGUUGUGAGAUCAGGGAGCUUUCUCAGUGAUACAUGCUUGCUGACAGUGCAGGAGGUUUUUGUACGGCCACUCAAUGAGUUUGUAUCACUGUGGUGGACUUUUGGUGGAGGAACCAAACUCAUCGUUGACUUGGGUGUGCAGCAGCCCACCCUGAGCGUCCUCCCCCCCUCCAGAGAGGAGCUGCAGCAGGGCAGUGCCACCGUGGUGUGUCUGGCCAGCGGGGGCUUCCCCUCCGCCUGGAAGCUGGGCUGGAAGCUGGGGG